Molecule: ribosomal RNA, 238 nt
Filed under: uncultured bacterium
Lineage: Bacteria
Description: partial 16S ribosomal RNA
Rfam family: Bacterial small subunit ribosomal RNA
Source: RNAcentral
CGGCGGACGGGUGAGUAACGCGUGGGUAACCUACCCUGUACACACGGAUAACAUACCGAAAGGUAUGCUAAUACGGGAUAAUAUAUUUGAGAGGCAUUUCUUGAAUAUCAAAGGUGAGCCAGUACAGGAUGGACCCGCGUCUGAUUAGCUAGUUGGUAAGGUAACGGCUUACCAAGGCGACGAUCAGUAGCCGACCUGAGAGGGUGAUCGGCCACAUUGGAACUGAGACACGGUCCAA